GAUAAGGUGGCUGAAUUUAGGUUAUAAAUUGUAAAUUUAUAUAUGGGUUUUUACUCUCUUGUCA
RNAcentral lists this transfer RNA (64 nucleotides) under Tuxedo drakei. RNAcentral's name for it is "tRNA-Tyr". The record is from RNAcentral. Lineage: Eukaryota; Metazoa; Arthropoda; Insecta; Hemiptera; Miridae.